AAGGGAGACCUAAUUCCGGUAGGAGACGAAAAAAAAGUAGUCCCUACCAAGAAUCAAUCCCAAAAGGUCGGAACGAGGUAUGAGGCUUUCAAACUAGGUUCUGGGUUCAUAAAAGACCUGAAUCAGGAACAAGGGCUAUUAGCUCAGGUGGUUAGAGCGCACCCCUGAUAAGGGUGAGGUCCCUGGUUCGAGUCCAGGAUGGCCCACCUGCACAGGUGGCAAAAACAAGAGAAGCGAGGAAUCAGCACCUUAUCUUGUAUACAUAUAUAAGAGAGAAUGCUGGCUCUGAGUAAAGAGUCCAGAGGAACCUUGAAAACUGCAUAGAGCUAGGUGAAAAAGCCAAAAAAGAAGACCGCAA
RNAcentral lists this transfer RNA (358 nucleotides) under uncultured cyanobacterium. RNAcentral's name for it is "16S-23S ribosomal RNA intergenic spacer". The stretch from base 133 to 206 matches the Rfam family "tRNA". The record is from RNAcentral. Lineage: Bacteria; Bacillati; Cyanobacteriota.